AUUCCGUCGUCUUAGUUUGUGCAACCAAGAACAAGGCCAUAAACUGCGUCAUUGUCCUUCCCCACCUCAUUCCCGCGGCUGAUGAUAAAAGCAGAGAGACGGACAGCCACCACAAUCCACCCCAUAUUUAUGAAAAACCAACUCACAUGGCAUUGGCUCUAAACAGCAUAAUCCCCCACACCACAGCUUUAAGCCUACGCACUUCUCUGCCCUCUUCCAAAAUGCCCUCCAGCCCCCAAUUCCAACAGCCUCACAACCGCCGCCAGAGCGGUCAGAUUGUCCGGAGCGCCGCCUCUUCCUCCUCCAACACCGCCGUCUCAGAUGUUAAGCUGCAGCUCCAGGAGAAGGACCACAGCAAUGGCUUCAACCCCACUUCCACGUUUGCUCCUGCGUGGUCCGAAUUUGCCAGAAAUGUGUCCGGUGAAUGGGAUGGCCAUGGAGCGGACUUCACAAAGGAAGGGUAUCCGAUAGAACUUCCCGAGAAUGUAGUGCCUGAAGCUUACAGGGAGUGGGAGGUUAAGGUUUUCGAUUGGCAGACUCAAUGCCCCACUCUUGCUAACCCAGAUGAGCACAUUCUUUUAUACAAGAAUAUAGAGCUACUUCCUACUGUUGGAUGUGAAGCUGAUGCUGCUACUCGAUAUAGAGUCAUUGAGAAGAAUGUUGGUGGUCUGAGUAACGAAGUUUUUGCCUUUGCAUAUCAGUCUAGCGGAUGUUAUGUGUCUGUCUUGCCAAUUCAGGAUAAGGGUACGUAUAAGUUACAGGAGUUGGAGUAUUGCUUGAUCAAUCCUCAAGAUAAAGAGUCUCGGGUGAGAAUAAUUCAGGUCAUCCGCAUAGAGAAUGAGAAGAUGAUGCUGCAGAAUAUUAGAGUUCACUGUGAGAAUUGGUAUGGGCCAUUCAGAAAUGGGGAUCAGUUAGGUGGAUGUGCUAUCCGUGAUUCUGCUUUUGCUUGUACGGCUGCACUGGAAGCUUCAGAAGUUGUUGGAACUUGGCGGGGUCUCAGUGCUGUUGCCAAUUUCCGUGGCACUCAAAAUAAUGUUUUUCAAGAACUUUUAGUCAACAGUGAGCAGAGCUCCAUGAGAGAUGAAAGUGGUCUCGUAUUGCUUCCCAAGCGGCUGUGGUGUUCCGUAAAAGAAAGUAAAGAUGGUGAUACUUGCAGCGAGGUAGGAUGGCUGUUAGAUCAUGGACGAGCUAUCACAUCAAGAUGCACCUUCUCAAGCACAGCAACGCCACAGGAAAUCUCAGUAGUGAAUGAAACUGCAGUUUUGAAGGGCACAUAGACAUUUUGGAUGAACUCAAAUUCGCAAUAUGCAAACACAGAUAUAGGACUCAUGAAAUGUAUCUAAAGUUUUUCUCUUCCUGUAUUUUUUUGUUUGUUGGGAUAUGUUUGAUUUAAUGUAUAGCAAUAAAGGCAUCCACAUGAAUGUAGAAAACUUGUGUCAUUUUUUUUCAAAUUCAUAGUAUACAACAUGCUUUGAAAUCUUUGUACAAAUGAUUUCCAAGCUUAUUUACAAACAAGAUGGUAGCUUUGAUUAGAUAUGAAGUAAACAAAACAUACAAGGUUCCUUAUAUAUGGACGUUUAGGGUGUGUUUGUUUCCCUUCACUAGCCCUCAUUGGACUGGACUAGACUAAUAGUUAGUCCAGUCCCAUGUUUGCUACUUCACAGGACUAGCUUUAGUGGGAGUAAGCCGGCUCGCCUCGACUAAGGAUCAUGCUAGACGGUCUUAGUGAGAGACGUCGCGAACCAUGGGACUAGCUAAUCUUUUUGAUCGCUCUCUGCUCACGUCCUCUACUCUCCUCUCUGCUCGCGUUCUCUCCCUCUCUCCUCGUCCCCAACCCUGAAUCAUGAACAAAGACCUCGAUUCGAGAUGGGAACCGGAAUCGGAAUCAGAAUCGGACUUUUGCAGUGAUUUGCCACACUUUUCUGUCCCCAGAGGGUUCAGUUUGCGAUCUCGCUUGAGUUUUGAUCGAGGAGUUUGUAUUGGGUAGGUAGAUUUGGGGUUUUACAAUCAGCUAAUCGAAAUAUCGAAUUUGAAAUUACUGAAAUUCUGGGAAUAUUGGGGAUUUGUUCUAAUUCAUUGCUCUGAAAUGUAGGGUUUUGGGGUUUUGUAGUUGCAGGAGGAGAAGAUGAAAGUCAACAUCUUGCGUAUCCUUCUCACUGUGUUUAUGUUAUUCUGUUCUUUCUUUCAAACUACUCUAGUUUAUAUACCAUUUGCAACUAGCUCAUGUAAUUUUCUGUACUUUUUAUUCCAAGAUAUUAACUUUGUUGCAUUUAAUCAUAUUGUAGACUGAAUUUUGGCUUGAUAGUUUCAAAUUCCUAUGAUUUUGAUUUUGUUCUUUCUUUCAAAUUUACUAGUUUAUACCAUUUAGAAAUAGCUUUUGUAAUGCUCUUUUCUUUCCCGUCUUUAAACUGUUGCAUCUAAUCGUGGUGGAAUGAAUUUCAGCUUGACGGUAUUGAAUUUCUAUGAUUUGUCAUCCUCUGGAACUAUGAAUAGUUAAUGAGCUGUAGAGUUUUACUACCUUAAUUGUAGUCUAAUGUUAUGAAUGGCGAUCACAAGAUCAGCAUCUCUUAUGUUAGUCAUGAAUCUCUAGCAUAUGCUCACCCUAUUUAUGAUUCGGUGCGAUUAUCUUUUUAACAAUGAUCGUCAUAAUUUGACAAUCCCAUUUGCUCGGUGAUCUUGUUUUAACUUGAAACAUCUUUGAUGGGAAAUGGACGUAUUAUGCAUUUUAUCGUAACUGCUUUCUCAUGACCCUUCUCUCUUUGCGAAUAUCUGCUGGGGAUUUUAAACAGAGUGGCAUGCUGUCGCUUCAUGGACAUGGGAUGCACAAGACGAAACAUGUGGGAUUUGUAGGAUGGCAUUUGAUGGUUGUUGUCCCGAUUGUAAACUCCCUGGGGAUGAUUGCCCGCUAAGUAAGUCGCUAGAAAUUUGAUGUUACCCAUUUGUUUUCAAUUUAUCUACUAUUUUUCCCGAUUGUAAACUCCAUGGGAUGCCCAAGACGAAACAUGCUACCCAUUUGUUUUCAAUUUAUCUGCUAUUUUUCCUUUUAUGAAUUGAUUGAUAAGUUUUUGUAAGUUGAAGUGAUUUUUUUCUUCA
This is a non-coding RNA of Malus domestica (apple), 3093 nucleotides long. The record is from RefSeq and is a predicted model, not a curated record. NCBI's taxonomy places the organism in Eukaryota, Viridiplantae, Streptophyta, Magnoliopsida, Rosales, Rosaceae.